Molecule: ribosomal RNA, 253 nt
Filed under: uncultured bacterium
Lineage: Bacteria
Description: partial 16S ribosomal RNA
Rfam family: Bacterial small subunit ribosomal RNA
Source: RNAcentral
UACGUAGGGGGCUAGCGUUGUCCGGAUUUAUUGGGCGUAAAGAGCGUGUAGGCGGCCAGGUAGGUCUGGUGUGAAAACUCGAGGCUUAACCUCGAGAUGUCAUCGGAAACCAUUUGGCUAGAGUCCGGAAGAGGAGAGUGGAAUUCCUGGUGUAGCGGUGAAAUGCGCAGAUAUCAGGAAGAACACCAAUGGCGAAAGCAGCUCUCUGGGACGGUACUGACGCUGAGACGCGAAAGCGUGGGGAGCGAACAGG